GACGAACGCUGGCGGCGUGCCUAAUACAUGCAAGUCGAACGCUGAAGAGAGGAGCUUGCUCUUCUUGCGUGAGUUGCGAACGGGUGAGUAACGCGUGGGUAACCUGCCUGUUAGCCGGGGAUAACUUCGGGAAACGAUAGCUAAUACCGCAUAAAAUGUAUAACCGCAUGAUAAUCCAUUGAAAGGUGCUUUUGCUUCACUACCUGAUGGACUUGCGUCGUAUUUGCUAGUUGGUUAGGUAACGGCCUACCAAGGCGACGAUGCGUAGCCGCCCUGAGAGGGGGAUCGGCCACACUGGAACUGAGACACGGUCCAGACUCCUACGGGAGGCAGCAGAAGGGAAUCUUCGGCAAUGGGCGAAAGCCUGACGGAGCAACGCGGCGUGAGUGAUGAAGGUCUUCGGAUCGUAAAACUCUGUUAUUAGGGAGGAACAAAGGUGGAAGUAAAUAUUCACGUCUUGACGGUACCUAAUCAGAAAGCCACGGCUAACUACGUG
This 496-nucleotide ribosomal RNA is filed under the name uncultured bacterium. Its description in RNAcentral is "partial 16S ribosomal RNA". It matches the Rfam family "Bacterial small subunit ribosomal RNA", at positions 28 to 507 of the family's 1533-position model. The record is from RNAcentral.